GCAUAUCAAUAAGCGGAGGAAAAGAAACCAACAGGGAUUGCCCCAGUAGCGGCGAGUGAAGCGGCAAGAGCUCAGAUUUGAAAUCGUGUUUCGGCACGAGUUGUAGAAUGUAGGCGGGAGUCUCUGUGGAGCGCGGUGUCCAAGUCCCUUGGAACAGGGUGCCUGAGAGGGUGAGAGCCCCGUAGGGUGCUGCGCGAAGCUUUUGAGGCCCUGCUGACGAGUCGAGUUGUUUGGGAAUGCAGCUCCAAGCGGGUGGUAAAUUCCAUCUAAGGCUAAAUAUUGGCGAGAGACCGAUAGCGAACAAGUACUGUGAAGGAAAGAUGAAAAGCACUUUGAAAAGAGAGUGAAACAGCACGUGAAAUUGUUGAAAGGGAAGGGUAUUGGGCUCGACAUGGGGGGUGCGCACCGCUGUCUCUUGUAGGCGGCGCUCUGGGCGCCCUCUGGGCCAGCAUCGGUUCCUGCUGCGGGAGAAGGGGCUCCGGAAAGUGGCUCUUCGGAGUGUUAUAGCCGGGGCCAGAUGCCGCGUGUGGGGACCGAGGACUGCGGCUUCUGUCUCGGAUGCUGGCAUAACGGCGCAAUACCGCCCGUCUU
RNAcentral lists this ribosomal RNA (591 nucleotides) under Pichia manshurica. Its description in RNAcentral is "eukaryotic LSU rRNA". It matches the Rfam family "Eukaryotic large subunit ribosomal RNA", at positions 38 to 655 of the family's 3401-position model. The record is from RNAcentral. Lineage: Eukaryota; Fungi; Ascomycota; Pichiomycetes; Pichiales; Pichiaceae.